AGACCCGAAACCCGGUGAUCUAGCCAUGGGCAGGUUGAAGGUUGGGUAACACUAACUGGAGGACCGAACCGACUAAUGUUGAAAAAUUAGCGGAUGACCUGUGGCUGGGGGUGAAAGGCCAAUCAAACCGGGAGAUAGCUGGUUCUCCCCGAAAGCUAUUUAGGUAGCGCCUCGUGAAUUCAUCUCCGGGGGUAGAGCACUGUUUCGGCUAGGGGGCCAUCCCGGCUUACCAACCCGAUGCAAACUGCGAAUACCGGAGAAUGUUAUCACGGGAGACACACGGCGGGUGCUAACGUCCGUCGUGAAGAGGGAAACAACCCAGACCGCCAGCUAAGGUCCCAAAGUCAUGGUUAAGUGGGAAACGAUGUGGGAAGGCCCAGACAGCCAGGAUGUUGGCUUAGAAGCAGCCAUCAUUUAAAGAAAGCGUAAUAGCUCACUGGUCGAGUCGGCCUGCGCGGAAGAUGUAACGGGGCUAAACCAUGCACCGAAGCUGCGGCAGCGACACUCAGGUGUUGUUGGGUAGGGGAGCGUUCUGUAAGCCUGUGAAGGUGGCCUGUGAGGGUUGCUGGAGGUAUCAGAAGUGCGAAUGCUGACAUAAGUAACGAUAAAGCGGGUGAAAAGCCCGCUCGCCGGAAGACCAAGGGUUCCUGUCCAACGUUAAUCGGGGCAGGGUGAGUCGACCCCUAAGGCGAGGCCGAAAGGCGUAGUCGAUGGGAAACGG
RNAcentral lists this ribosomal RNA (721 nucleotides) under Salmonella enterica subsp. enterica serovar Virchow. RNAcentral's name for it is "partial 23S ribosomal RNA". It matches the Rfam family "Bacterial large subunit ribosomal RNA", at positions 711 to 1428 of the family's 2925-position model. The record is from RNAcentral. Lineage: Bacteria; Pseudomonadati; Pseudomonadota; Gammaproteobacteria; Enterobacterales; Enterobacteriaceae.